RNAcentral lists this ribosomal RNA (487 nucleotides) under uncultured bacterium. Its description in RNAcentral is "bacterial SSU rRNA". It matches the Rfam family "Bacterial small subunit ribosomal RNA", at positions 501 to 987 of the family's 1533-position model. The record is from RNAcentral.
CUACGUGCCAGCAGCCGCGGUAAUACGUAGGGUGCGAGCGUUAAUCGGAAUUACUGGGCGUAAAGCGAGCGCAGACGGUUACUUAAGCAGGAUGUGAAAUCCCCGGGCUCAACCUGGGAACUGCGUUCUGAACUGGGUGACUAGAGUGUGUCAGAGGGAGGUAGAAUUCCACGUGUAGCAGUGAAAUGCGUAGAGAUGUGGAGGAAUACCGAUGGCGAAGGCAGCCUCCUGGGAUAAUACUGACGUUCAUGCUCGAAAGCGUGGGUAGCAAACAGGAUUAGAUACCCUGGUAGUCCACGCCCUAAACGAUGUCGAUUAGCUGUUGGGCAACUUGAUUGCUUAGUAGCGUAGCUAACGCGUGAAAUCGACCGCCUGGGGAGUACGGUCGCAAGAUUAAAACUCAAAGGAAUUGACGGGGACCCGCACAAGCGGUGGAUGAUGUGGAUUAAUUCGAUGCAACGCGAAGAACCUUACCUGGUCUUGACAU